CCCCCGCUUCGGUGGGGUGUUCUAGUGGCGAACGGGUGAGUAACACGUGGGCAACCUGCCCCCGGCUCUGGGAUAACUCCAAGAAAUUGGGGCUAAUACCGGAUAUGACCGCUGACCGCAUGGUCUGGUGGUGGAAAGAUUUAUCGGCUGGGGAUGGGCCCGCGGCCUAUCAGCUUGUUGGUGGGGUAGUGGCCUACCAAGGCGACGACGGGUAGCCGGCCUGAGAGGGUGACCGGCCACACUGGGACUGAGACACGGCCCAGACUCCUACGGGAGGCAGCAGUGGGGAAUAUUGCGCAAUGGGCGAAAGCCUGACGCAGCGACGCCGCGUGGGGGAUGACGGCCUUCGGGUUGUAAACCUCUUUCAGCAGGGACGAAGCGCAAGUGACGGUACCUGCAGAAGAAGCACCGGCCAACUACGUGCCAGCAGCCGCGGUAAUACGUAGGGUGCAAGCGUUGUCCGGAAUUAUUGGGCGUAAAGAGCUCGUAGGCGGUCUGUCGCGUCGGCUGUGAAAUCCCGAGGCUCAACCUCGGGUCUGCAGUCGAUACGGGCAAACUGGAGUGUUGCAGGGGAGACUGGAAUUCCUGGUGUAGCGGUGAAAUGCGCAGAUAUC
This 614-nucleotide ribosomal RNA is filed under the name uncultured bacterium. RNAcentral's name for it is "bacterial SSU rRNA". It matches the Rfam family "Bacterial small subunit ribosomal RNA", at positions 72 to 698 of the family's 1533-position model. The record is from RNAcentral.